CCUACGGGGGGCAGCAGUGAGGAAUAUUGGUCAAUGGACGAGAGUCUGAACCAGCCAAGUAGCGUGAAGGAUGACUGCCCUAUGGGUUGUAAACUUCUUUUAUAUGGGAAUAAAACGUUCCACGUGUGGGAUUUUGUAUGUACCAUAUGAAUAAGGAUCGGCUAACUCCGUGCCAGCAGCCGCGGUAAUACGGAGGAGCCGAGCGUUGUCCGGAUUUAUUGGGUUUAAAGGGAGCGUAGGUGGAUGGUUAAGUCAGUUGUGAAAGUUUGCGGUUUAACCGUAAAAUUGCAGUUGAAACUGGCAGUCUUGAGUACAGUAGAGGUGGGCGGAAUGCGUGGUGUAGCGGUGAAAUGCUUAGAUAUCACGAAGAACUCCGAUUGCGAAGGCAGUUCACUGGACUGCAACUGACACUGAGGCUCGAAAGUGUGGGUAUCAAACAGGAUUAGAUACCCCUGUAGUC
This 460-nucleotide ribosomal RNA is filed under the name uncultured bacterium. RNAcentral's name for it is "partial 16S ribosomal RNA". It matches the Rfam family "Bacterial small subunit ribosomal RNA", at positions 338 to 795 of the family's 1533-position model. The record is from RNAcentral.